CAGUCGCCACGGGAAUACGGAGGGAGCUAGCGUUAUUCGGAAUUACUGGGCGUAAAGCGCACGUAGGCGGCUUUGUAAGUAAGAGGUGAAAGCCCGGAGCUCAACUCCGGAACUGCCUUUUAGACUGCAUCGCUUGAAUCCAGGAGAGGUGAGUGGAAUUCCGAGUGUAGAGGUGAAAUUCGUAGAUAUUUGGAAGAACACCAGUGGCGAAGGCGGCUCACUGGACUGGUAUUGACGCUGAGGUGCGAAAGCGUGGGGAGCAAACAGGAUUAGAUACCCGCGUAGUCCCUGUCUCUUAUAA
This 301-nucleotide ribosomal RNA is filed under the name uncultured bacterium. RNAcentral describes it as "partial 16S ribosomal RNA". It matches the Rfam family "Bacterial small subunit ribosomal RNA", at positions 509 to 809 of the family's 1533-position model. The record is from RNAcentral.